UGACGAGGAUCGCUUGGGAAGAAUCUCUUGAGAGAGGCUCUGGAGAAGGGAAGCUCUUGGAGGACAAUCUCUAAGGAGGUCUCGCUGGAGCUCUCUCUGGUGAAGUCAGCUGAGAUGGAGCUGGCCUGGUGUCACUAGAAUCCUUGUUUAGGCAGACCUUGUGGGUACUGUCAUGUCCAUGGAUCCUAGCCCUGAAGAUGCUGCAGAACUGUACAGGACUGGAAAUUUCAGGUCUGAAAGAUAAUAGAUCAUUCCUAAGAACUUUUAUACCCAGAAGUCACUGGAAGGC
This 289-nucleotide long non-coding RNA is filed under the name Monodelphis domestica (gray short-tailed opossum). RNAcentral's name for it is "lncRNA (ENSMODG00000042649.1)". The record is from RNAcentral. Lineage: Eukaryota; Metazoa; Chordata; Mammalia; Didelphimorphia; Didelphidae.